This 407-nucleotide ribosomal RNA is filed under the name uncultured bacterium. Its description in RNAcentral is "bacterial SSU rRNA". It matches the Rfam family "Bacterial small subunit ribosomal RNA", at positions 29 to 451 of the family's 1533-position model. The record is from RNAcentral.
AACGAACGCUGGCGGCAGGCCUAACACAUGCAAGUCGAACGAACUGAGACCUUCGGGUCUCUAUGUUAGUGGCGCACGGGUGAGUAACGCGUGGGAACGUACCCUUUAGUACGGAAUAACGCAGGGAAACUUGCGCUAAUACCGUAUACGCCCUUCGGGGGAAAGAUUUAUCGCUAAAGGAUCGGCCCGCGUCUGAUUAGGUAGUUGGUGAGGUAACGGCUCACCAAGCCGACGAUCAGUAGCUGGUCUGAGAGGAUGAUCAGCCACACUGGGACUGAGACACGGCCCAGACUCCUACGGGAGGCAGCAGUGGGGAAUAUUGGACAAUGGGCGAAAGCCUGAUCCAGCCAUGCCGCGUGAGUGAAGAAGGCCUUCGGGUUGUAAAGCUCUUUCGACGGGGACGAUGA